This 1037-nucleotide long non-coding RNA is filed under the name Canis lupus dingo (dingo). RNAcentral's name for it is "lncRNA (ENSCAFG00020011012.1)". Lineage: Eukaryota; Metazoa; Chordata; Mammalia; Carnivora; Canidae. The record is from RNAcentral.
GUUUGUCCCUAAGGGCUGCUGGACUGAGAUCAUCAUGCCCAUUUUACAGACGGAGAAAUGGAGGCGGGCAACCGUUCCUCAACUCGCUGUGAUUCUUUCAGAAACCGGAGGUACAAUCCCAGCUGUGCUGCUUCCUGCCAAAGGCUCUAACCCUCUCCGGAAGCAGCUUGCUUGUGUGUCCCGACCUCAGGGGUCAGAGGUCUGGCAGUGCAGCGGGGAGGGGAGGGGAACUUGAGCAAUAUGGGGCCACACCUGCUGCCUGCCAGCCCCCAGGUAUGGGCCCACUUCCCCCAGAUGCCCGAGGGCCCUGCUGCUCGAUGCCUACCCUGGGGUCCCCCCCAGGCAGAGAGGCCCAGCACCCCCUGCCGGGCUCAGGGUCACAGGAGGCAGAGAGGUGGGAGGCCCCACCUGAGGCUUCCCCACAGGAGCCCCCUGGGUGGGAGGCAGUGCCGAGGGCAGGGGCGAGGCCUGAAUGCUGCAGAGCUGGCUGGGACCCUCUCAAGAAACUGGGUUUCCCGGGAGCCUGCUAGGCCUCUGCGGCCCUUCUGUCACUGGCCAUGUCCCCGAGGACCACCCAGCAGGCCGAGCCGGGCUGCAGACAGGGACAGAUGGACAGACAGCACUGCAGCCAGGAGGGGCGGGCCAAGAAGCCAGUUGCAGCCGGACUGUACCGGGGUCUCAGACCACGGCGGGGGCGCUCGCAGGGGCUCCAGGCCCAGCAGCGGCCGAGGCCCGGGGUCAGGGGUGGACGGCAGGCAGUCCCGGGGACCAAGCAGCGCGGGGACGGCUCGCAGCCCAUCUGGGUCCACCCGGGCUCUUGGGGUUGGGAGGGCCUGGCCUUCGCUGACCCAGCCCAGCAGGGCCCGCCUCAGAUCGCCUGGUAAUUUCUGGAAGCUGCAAGGCCCCUGGGGAUCACCACUCCCCUACACGCAGCCCCCGCCACACCUGCCUACCCGCCUGUUUAUCUCCGGCUCCAGGGCCCUGGGAUGAAAAGCAGGACCACUCCCCAGGCCCCCGGACCCCCACCCCAGUCCACC